Long non-coding RNA from Myotis davidii, 561 nucleotides. RefSeq lists it as uncharacterized. The record is from RefSeq and is a predicted model, not a curated record. Lineage: Eukaryota; Metazoa; Chordata; Mammalia; Chiroptera; Vespertilionidae. The transcript is spliced from 3 exons.
UGAUAAACAAGAGACCUUACUGGAUAAUCAUUUCUAGGGAUUAUUUUUGGGAUCUUUACCACAGUUCUCUACCCUCCUUCCUACUUUCAUUGUCUCUCUCUUGCUCUGGUACUUGCUUUUCUUGUUCCCACAGGUCUAUAUCGUUUCACUUUUGACCGAUUGAAAGCUGUAAGACUCAUGCACUUAGCCAAGCUUUAAAGAAGAAAGCAGCUCAUUGUCAGACAAGCAGUGAGCAGUUUACGGAGAUCUGAAUGUGAAGGAGGCAAUCCCCAUUUGCCAUAAUCCUGGCUUGUGACAUUCAACAUUUAAAAAAAUUUAAUUGACAAAAAGUUCUUUCUUAUCAUUGAAUUGGAAUCUCUUAAUGAGUCAUUAUUCUUAGCUCCGCUUUUUGGAUUUGCACAGAAUAUUUUACAUAGAUUAUAUAAUCUCAGCUGGGAGAGAUGGGAGAAUGGAAGAAAAAAACUAAGAGGAAUGAUGUUCAUACCUGUGCAGCUUACAAUAGCUAAUAUUUGGAAACAGCCCAAGUGCCCAUCAGCAGUGGGUAAAAAAGCUGUGGUACAA